GAGGGUAUAACUCAGUGGAAGAGCACAUGCUUAGUGUGCAUGAGGUCCUGGGUUCAAUCUCCAGUAUCGCCU
This 72-nucleotide transfer RNA is filed under the name Camelus bactrianus (Bactrian camel). It matches the Rfam family "tRNA". Rfam says of the family: Transfer RNA (tRNA) molecules are approximately 80 nucleotides in length. Lineage: Eukaryota; Metazoa; Chordata; Mammalia; Artiodactyla; Camelidae. The record is from Rfam by way of RNAcentral. RNAcentral also lists the same sequence under 1 other name.